Molecule: ribosomal RNA, 420 nt
Filed under: uncultured bacterium
Lineage: Bacteria
Description: bacterial SSU rRNA
Rfam family: Bacterial small subunit ribosomal RNA
Source: RNAcentral
CCAAGUCGCGUGAGGGAUGAAGGUUCUAUGGAUCGUAAACCUCUUUUAUAAGGGAAUAAAGUGCGGGACGUGUCCCGUUUUGUAUGUACCUUAUGAAUAAGGAUCGGCUAACUCCGUGCCAGCAGCCGCGGUAAUACGGAGGAUCCGAGCGUUAUCCGGAUUUAUUGGGUUUAAAGGGUGCGUAGGCGGCCUUUUAAGUCAGCGGUGAAAGUCUGUGGCUCAACCAUAGAAUUGCCGUUGAAACUGGGGGGCUUGAGUAUGUUUGAGGCAGGCGGAAUGCGUGGUGUAGCGGUGAAAUGCAUAGAUAUCACGCAGAACCCCGAUUGCGAAGGCAGCCUGCCAAGCCAUUACUGACGCUGAUGCACGAAAGCGUGGGGAUCAAACAGGAUUAGAUACCCUGGUAGUCCACGCAGUAAACGA